CUUAGAAGCAGCCAUCAUUUAAAGAAAGCGUAAUAGCUCACUGGUCGAGUCGGCCUGCGCGGAAGAUGUAACGGGGCUAAACCAUGCACCGAAGCUGCGGCAGCGACACUAUGUGUUGUUGGGUAGGGGAGCGUUCUGUAAGCCUGCGAAGGUGUGCUGUGAGGCAUGCUGGAGGUAUCAGAAGUGCGAAUGCUGACAUAAGUAACGAUAAAGCGGGUGAAAAGCCCGCUCGCCGGAAGACCAAGGGUUCCUGUCCAACGUUAAUCGGGGCAGGGUGAGUCGACCCCUAAGGCGAGGCCGAAAGGCGUAGU
RNAcentral lists this ribosomal RNA (311 nucleotides) under Escherichia coli. RNAcentral's name for it is "partial 23S ribosomal RNA". It matches the Rfam family "Bacterial large subunit ribosomal RNA", at positions 1105 to 1415 of the family's 2925-position model. The record is from RNAcentral. Lineage: Bacteria; Pseudomonadati; Pseudomonadota; Gammaproteobacteria; Enterobacterales; Enterobacteriaceae.